RNAcentral lists this ribosomal RNA (468 nucleotides) under uncultured bacterium. RNAcentral describes it as "partial 16S ribosomal RNA". It matches the Rfam family "Bacterial small subunit ribosomal RNA", at positions 28 to 507 of the family's 1533-position model. The record is from RNAcentral.
GACGAACGCUGGCGGCGUGCUUAACACGUGCAAGUCGAACGGAAAGGCCCUGCUUUUGUGGGGUGCUCGAGUGGCGAACGGGUGAGUAACACGUGAGUAACCUGCCCUUGACUUUGGGAUAACUUCAGGAAACUGGGGCUAAUACCGGAUAGGAGCUCCUGCUGCAUGGUGGGGGUUGGAAAGUUUCGGCGGUUGGGGAUGGACUCGCGGCUUAUCAGCUUGUUGGUGGGGUAGUGGCUUACCAAGGCUUUGACGGGUAGCCGGCCUGAGAGGGUGACCGGCCACAUUGGGAAUGAGAGACGGCCGAGACUCCGACGGGAGGCAGCAGGGGGGAAGAUGGCGCAAGGGGCGGGAGCCGGAUGCAGCAACGCCGCGUGCGGGAUGGCGGCCUUCGGGUUGUAAAACGCUUUCGCCUGUGACGAAGCGUGAGGGACGGUAAUGGGUAAAGAAGCACCGGCUAACUACGUG